Molecule: ribosomal RNA, 169 nt
Filed under: Russula sp.
Lineage: Eukaryota; Fungi; Basidiomycota; Agaricomycetes; Russulales; Russulaceae
Description: partial large subunit ribosomal RNA
Rfam family: Eukaryotic large subunit ribosomal RNA
Source: RNAcentral
CGGGAAAAGCUCAAAUUUAAAAUCUGGUGGCCUUUGGCCAUCCGAGUUGUAAUUUAGAGAAGCGUCUUCCGCGCUGGACCGUGCACAAGUCUCCUGGAAUGGAGCGUCAUAGAGGGUGAGAAUCCCGUCUUUGGCACGGACUCCCGGUGCUUUGCGAUGCGCUCUCGAC